This 70-nucleotide transfer RNA is filed under the name Cleroidea sp. 6 KM-2017. RNAcentral describes it as "tRNA-Lys". It matches the Rfam family "tRNA". From Rfam's summary of the family: Transfer RNA (tRNA) molecules are approximately 80 nucleotides in length. Their secondary structure includes four short double-helical elements and three loops (D, anti-codon, and T loops). Lineage: Eukaryota; Metazoa; Arthropoda; Insecta; Coleoptera. The record is from RNAcentral.
CAUUAGAUAGCUUAAAGUAAGCAAUGGUCUCUUAAACCAUAAAAUAGUAAAUUAACGAAUACUUCUAAUG